This 503-nucleotide ribosomal RNA is filed under the name uncultured bacterium. RNAcentral describes it as "partial 16S ribosomal RNA". It matches the Rfam family "Bacterial small subunit ribosomal RNA", at positions 30 to 523 of the family's 1533-position model. The record is from RNAcentral.
AUUGAACGCUGGCGGCAGGCUUAACACAUGCAAGUCGAGCGGGGUGAUGGUGCUUGCACUAUCACUUAGCGGCGGACGGGUGAGUAAUGCUUAGGAAUCUGCCUAUUAGUGGGGGACAACAUCUCGAAAGGGAUGCUAAUACCGCAUACGUCCUACGGGAGAAAGCAGGGGAUCACUUGUGACCUUGCGCUAAUAGAUGAGCCUAAGUCGGAUUAGCUAGUUGGUGGGGUAAAGGCCUACCAAGGCGACGAUCUGUAGCGGGUCUGAGAGGAUGAUCCGCCGCACUGGGACUGAGACACGGCCCAGACUCCUACGGGAGGCAGCAGUGGGGAAUAUUGGACAAGGGGGGGAACCCUGAUCCAGCCAUGCCGCGUGUGUGAAGAAGGCCUUAUGGUUGUAAAGCACUUUAAGCGAGGAGGAGGCUCUUUUGGUUAAUACCCAAGAUGAGUGGACGUUACUCGCAGAAUAAGCACCGGCUAACUCUGUGCCAGCCGCCGCGGUAA